UGAUUGACCACGAAGAACAGCAGCAGCAG
Molecule: non-coding RNA, 29 nt
Filed under: Mus musculus (house mouse)
Lineage: Eukaryota; Metazoa; Chordata; Mammalia; Rodentia; Muridae
Source: RNAcentral